This 238-nucleotide long non-coding RNA is filed under the name Elaeis guineensis (African oil palm). RNAcentral describes it as "long non-coding RNA (EGUI_LNC013540)". Lineage: Eukaryota; Viridiplantae; Streptophyta; Magnoliopsida; Arecales; Arecaceae. The record is from RNAcentral.
ACCAUAUGAAUAAGAUUGAUAGCACCUUGUCCGAGUUGUUGAAUAUGUUGGUGACAGCUGAGGACACUCUGAAAAGUUCAAGGAGAAUAGUUCUUACUGUGGAGCAGGCCUCUUCCAAGAGAAAGUUUGCUUGGAAGAAGAAGAAUAAAAAGCCUGCGAAGAAAUAAAAGACCAAGAGUGGGAAGAAGAAGAAAGCUCCAAAGAAGGCCAACGAUAAAGAAAAAUGUUUCCACUGCGA